Molecule: non-coding RNA, 81 nt
Organism: Paragonimus heterotremus
Lineage: Eukaryota; Metazoa; Platyhelminthes; Trematoda; Plagiorchiida; Troglotrematidae
Source: the annotation of a GenBank genome assembly
GGCUUCGUAGCUCAGCUGGCAGAGCGCUUGCCUCGUAGAUGCAUGGUGUUUCAGUCGCUGGUUGGAAUCCAGCCGAAACCC